CAACUCGCCUACACGAAGCUGGAAUCGCUAGUAAUCGCGGAUCAGCACGCCGCGGUGAAUACGUUCCCGGGCCUUGUACACACCGCCCGUCACACCAUGAGAGUCUGUAACACCCAAAGCCGGUGGGAUAACCUUUAUAGGAGUCAGCCGUCUAAGGUAGGACGGAUGAUUAGGGUGAAGUCGUAACAAGGUAUC
Molecule: ribosomal RNA, 195 nt
Filed under: uncultured bacterium
Lineage: Bacteria
Description: partial 16S ribosomal RNA
Rfam family: Bacterial small subunit ribosomal RNA
Source: RNAcentral